GCAGAAACAUACGCUAUAAAUAGAAGCUCGGAUGAGGGAAGGGCCUGCGGGGCCGACUCUGGCGAGAGGCACGGGAGAAAGGAAGUGGUGGUGCCAGCCUGCGUUCAGGCCAAGGGCAGCCACUGGGGGUGGGGGUUCACGCAGGGAGAGGCCCUGGGGAGAGGGGAGCUGUGCGCGCCCCGGGUGGGGAAAGAGCGGCUGGCCCGAGGUUCCACUGGCAGGUGCAGUGAGUCUUCUGCCCGUACUGCCCGGUGCCAGUCCCCCUCCCCACCAACCUCACAUGCCCCUGGAGGGCAGCAAGAACAGGUGCGGCUUUGGCGGGCUCUGCGCAGGGACGCUGAAGUGGAGGGAGGGGAUGGAGCUGCCGGGCCCCGGGGCCUCUGACCCACCCCACUUCAGCUCUGUGGCUGCCUGGUCCUGAGACCUUGAGUUUGGCACUGGAGAGAAGGGACGCUGGAACCCAGUGUGGAGCUGACGUGCCUGGGGCCACGCUGUGAGCUGGUGGUGGCGGGGGCACUGGAACCCAGGUGCCCUUUCCCUCCCAGUGGGAACACAGCUGCUUUUUGCACAGGGAACUACCUGCCUGCUAGAGACAAUGCCUCUAUUAAGUUCUCUGCCUUCAACCUUCUCUUUUUGGACAAGCACUUCAGACAACUGAAGAUAAACCAGGAAAAAAAUGAAAGCUAUGCCUGCUGGCUGGUAGCAUUAUGCAAAGACAUCCUUCCGAGAACGGCAGAGAAUUUAAAGUGACUUCUCUGUCCCUGAGCUGUGUCUCUACCUUUCCAAUCUCUCAUUUUUUAUGUUAUCUCAAGACUUUUCUAAAUAAAGCAAAGGCCAUGGCCCCUCAGGCAGGCCCCACCACUG
Vicugna pacos (alpaca) is the source of this 864-nucleotide non-coding RNA. Lineage: Eukaryota; Metazoa; Chordata; Mammalia; Artiodactyla; Camelidae. The record is from RefSeq and is a predicted model, not a curated record.